ACAAAAUGCUAGCUACCAUUUUCAACCUUUUCUAGCACUUUAACUUAACAACAUUCCUCAAACAUGAACAGUCUCUUUCAUUUCUUUUUCUUCUUCUUUCUCCUCUUCACUUCUCAAAUUGUAUUACUUCACGCCAUCAGCCGGCCACCGCCGGCAGGAUUUUCCGGUCCGUCAACGGCGAGAAAACAUCAAGUUUUUCAACCUCAGGCGAGUGCUCCGUUUGCUAGAGACUUAGAAUCUGAUAAGAGGAGAGUUCCCACUGGACCAAAUCCUCUACACAACAAGAAAAGAAAGGUUUAAAUUCUGCAUUUAGAGCUCCUCUUGUUAUUCGUCAAAGGUAUAGUAAUUUAAUUUUCAUUCAUUAGUUUGUCUUUUGGUUGUAGAGUUUUCCUCUGUAUUAUAUUGGCGAUUCAAUAUUCGUAUUCACCAAUUUCAAUUUUGUACAAAUUAUGGUAUAGAUAGCUUAGUUUAAUUACACAUGUACUUUUUUUUAAUUCCAUAACUUUUAAUUUUUUUGCAGUUAGGUUAUUUUAGGUUUUUAGCCUUUCCUAGCUGGGUGAUUAUGCUUAUGUAGAUUUUGCGAGAAAGGAAUAUGUGGUGUUUUGUUACCAUUAAUAAUUUAGUCCUGCAAAAAAUUGUUUAAGUUGAUAAUUCUAUCAUUACAUAUAUUUUUUUUCCUUUUCUUUUCUUGUACUAGUAUGUAAUUACUCCUUUGUAAGAAUGGUGCUUUUAAACCAAGUUAGCUAGCCUCGGAAUUGAAUGAACAAUAAUAAUUAAUAAGAGAAAAUAAAAUAACAAUGGACUCUUUCUCUCUCUCGUAAAUACUUAUGAAGAUAUUAAUCAAAUAAUAUGUUCAUAGUAAUUCUUUCACUUCUAAAUGCGUUUGCUAUUGCUCAUAGGAGUUUUUGACCAAAAUUAUCUCUUAUUUUUUAAGGGUAAAUUUAACUUUGUCCUUCAAAUAUGACAUUGAGCGCGAAUUGUCCUCUAGGUUAACAAAAGUUAAGCGCCAGUAGUCCAAGUAACAAAUAACAUGGCAUUCGUUAGAAAACUAGCAGAGCUAUUACUCAACUACACAUGAAACAUUUUUUUUUUAAAUUUAAAUCCAGCUCUCUUUCACCCCUAAAAUUGCCAUCUUUUCUACCGGAGAAAAUUGUUGCUUCCACCGAAUUCAAACACCCAAGAUAGCCGGUGAACUUAGUGUGUCACUGUGGAUGAUUUAAGCUUGAAAACUUGUGUUGAAACAUCGAGGUUUGAAGUAUCGCUACACCAGUGUGUAAUCCGUUCUAUUCUAGGAGAAAAUAAUCUACAACCUCGGGUGCUAGGAGCGGAUUAAGUUUUUUAAGGAAACAUUGUGAAUUUAAUGGGUUCGGAUUAAAUUCCGUUUCUUCUAUAUUUCUAUUUAUACGUUAUUUUUUUUCGAAAUUAUUUUACUAACAAUGCUAUCUGGGUCUUUCCCACAAUUUGGGUCUUGUUUGAAUCUAGACUUUGUAAAUUGUAAUUUUCAGCCGAACAAUUCUUGAAAGAAGAUUUGGAGGUGAGAAGUAUCACGUGCAGAUAGCAUGUUGUUGUUAGUUUUAUGAUGGAUGUUGUGUUUUCUUUUACUUGGACUAAAAGCGCUAAACCCUUGCA
This 1629-nucleotide long non-coding RNA is filed under the name Nicotiana benthamiana. Its description in RNAcentral is "long non-coding RNA (NBEN_LNC009565)". The record is from RNAcentral. Lineage: Eukaryota; Viridiplantae; Streptophyta; Magnoliopsida; Solanales; Solanaceae.